RNAcentral lists this ribosomal RNA (120 nucleotides) under Pteropus alecto (black flying fox). The record is from RNAcentral. Lineage: Eukaryota; Metazoa; Chordata; Mammalia; Chiroptera; Pteropodidae.
GUCUACAGCCAUGCCACCCUGAACACGCCCAAUCCCGUCUGAUCUCGGAAGCUAAGCAGGGUCGGGCCUGGUUAGUACUUGGAUGAGAGACCACGUAGGAAGAACGGGAAGAAGGAAAAU